This 32-nucleotide non-coding RNA is filed under the name Mus musculus (house mouse). Lineage: Eukaryota; Metazoa; Chordata; Mammalia; Rodentia; Muridae. The record is from RNAcentral.
UGUUCAAGUUAAACAACUAAAACAGAGGGAAC